UAUAAUUUUGAAACCAAAACGCCUUUGCCGACGCCAUCAACUUUGAAAAUCUCUCUACCCUUCUCCUUCCCCCAAAACCCAAAUCUCUACCCUUUUCCUUCCCUUAAAACCCAACUCUGAAAAACUUUUAGCAUGUGACCACUCCUAUUUAUUCUUAGAAACCAUCUCCUUCCCCCCAAAUUCUCACCCAAAACUCCUAUAGCAUGCAACCCCUCCUCUCUCUUCUUAGAAACCAUUUGGUCUAAACUUGCUCAAGUAGUAGAUAUAGUACUAGUCUGAUUUGUGUGAGCCCCGAAGCAAGAUUUGGAAGAGGAGGAUCAAGUUUAUUUGGGCAACUCGAACUAAGACUCAGAUUGGUAGUAGAUUGAGUUUGAGAAGAAACUAUGGGGUCAAAGAUAAUAAAUUUGGGGUGGAUGCUUAGGCUCUUAUGCUCAAGGGUGUGAAGGAAGCUUACUUAUGUUAUCAAGUGACCACAUGACACUUCUUAAAGCUUUUGAAGGAUAGAAGGAUGCAAACUGUAAUGAAAAGAGUCCUGUCACCUUGCAAAUGAUAGAGGAUAUGAGAAUGCAAUUUGUGGAUCUAUUUAACAUUGGCUUUGUAAACAAAUUGAUGAGUGCUAA
Long non-coding RNA from Quercus robur (English oak), 620 nucleotides. RefSeq lists it as uncharacterized. NCBI's taxonomy places the organism in Eukaryota, Viridiplantae, Streptophyta, Magnoliopsida, Fagales, Fagaceae. The transcript is spliced from 3 exons. The record is from RefSeq and is a predicted model, not a curated record.